UAGUCCACGCCCUAAACGAUGUAUGCUAGACGUCGGGAGACUUGUCUUUCGGUGUCGCCGCUAACGCAUUAAGCAUACCGCCUGGGGAGUACGGUCGCAAGAUUAAAACUCAAAGAAAUUGACGGGGGCCCGCACAAGCGGUGGAGCAUGUGGUUUAAUUCGAAGCAACGCGCAGAACCUUACCUACCCUUGACAUGCCGGUCGCGAUUUCCAGAGAUGGAUUUCUUCAAUUCGGUUGGACCGUGCACAGGUGCUGCAUGGUUGUCGUCAGCUCGUGUCGUGAGAUGUUGGGUUAAGUCCCGCAACGAGCGCAACCCUCACUUUUAGUUGCCAGCAUUUAGUUGGGCACUCUGGAAGAACUGCCGGUGCUAAGCCGGAGGAAGGUGGGGAUGACGUCAAGUCCUCAUGGCCCUUACGGGUAGGGCUACACACGUGCUACAAUGGCGCUGACAGAGGGUUAAUCCCUAAAAGGCGUCUCAGUUCGGAUUGUCCUCUGCAACUCGAGGGCA
Molecule: ribosomal RNA, 509 nt
Filed under: uncultured bacterium
Lineage: Bacteria
Description: bacterial SSU rRNA
Rfam family: Bacterial small subunit ribosomal RNA
Source: RNAcentral